CGAGAGGCGCCAGGGCUGUCGCUGACCUCUGUCAUGAGGUCGUGCACGCCCGAGGCGUCCUCGCACAAUCCAUCCCACACACCCCCCUUUGUGCAUCACCGCGUGGGCUCCUUUGGGUCGCUUCGAUCCAAGCGGGGCUUGCGCUUUUUUACACAGACGUGCAGUGUAGAAUGUCCUAGCGAUUGUACGCAAUCAAUACAACUUUCAACAACGGAUCUCUUGGCUCUCGCAUCGAUGAAGAACGCAGCGAAAUGCGAUACGUAAUGUGAAUUGCAGAAUUCAGUGAAUCAUCGAAUCUUUGAACGCACCUUGCGCCCCUUGGCAUUCCGAGGGGCACACCCGUUUGAGUGUCGUGAAUUCCUCAACCUUCUGCUUUUCUUGAUAGCAGAAGGCUUGGACUUUGGAGGUUCUUGCUGGCCCCUCUCUUCAGAGGCCAGCUCCUCUUAAAUGGAUUAGCAGGGUCUGCCUUUGGGCCGAUCCUCGACGUGAUAAGCUGUUUCUACGUCUUGGAUUUGGCUCCGCCUCUCUUUUGAGAGA
Molecule: ribosomal RNA, 537 nt
Filed under: uncultured Lactarius
Lineage: Eukaryota; Fungi; Basidiomycota; Agaricomycetes; Russulales; Russulaceae
Description: eukaryotic LSU rRNA
Rfam family: 5.8S ribosomal RNA (bases 200-353)
Source: RNAcentral